CAUGCAAGUCGAACGGAAAGGCCCUUCGGGGUACACGAGUGGCGAACGGGUGAGUAACACGUGGGUGAUCUGCCCUGCACUUCGGGAUAAGCCUGGGAAACUGGGUCUAAUACCGGAUAUGACCAUGCGCUUCACGGUGUGUGGUGGAAAGCUUUUGCGGUGUGGGAUGGGCCCGCGGCCUAUCAGCUUGUUGGUGGGGUAAUGGCCUACCAAGGCGACGACGGGUAGCCGGCCUGAGAGGGUGUCCGGCCACACUGGGACUGAGAUACGGCCCAGACUCCUACGGGAGGCAGCAGUGGGGAAUAUUGCACAAUGGGCGCAAGCCUGAUGCAGCGACGCCGCGUGGGGGAUGACGGCCUUCGGGUUGUAAACCUCUUUCAGUAGGGACGAAGCGCAAGUGACGGUACCUACAGAAGAAGCACCGGCCAACUACGUGCCAGCAGCCGCGGUAAUACGUAGGGUGCGAGCGUUGUCCGGAAUUACUGGGCGUAAAGAGCUCGUAGGUGGUUUGUCGCGUUGUUCGUGAAAACUCACA
This 535-nucleotide ribosomal RNA is filed under the name uncultured Mycobacterium sp. RNAcentral describes it as "bacterial SSU rRNA". It matches the Rfam family "Bacterial small subunit ribosomal RNA", at positions 54 to 606 of the family's 1533-position model. The record is from RNAcentral. Lineage: Bacteria; Bacillati; Actinomycetota; Actinomycetes; Mycobacteriales; Mycobacteriaceae.